AAAAUAAGGUCGGGUUACCCGAACCUGACCUGACUAACCCGAAAAUAAUAAGGAAAAAAAAAAUUAAAAAAACCCCUAAAGUAACCAGCCCAAGCCCAAAUUCAUGCCCAUAUAAAAAGUAAAACCCUAGGGUUCUUUUAUCAGUUGUAGCCGCUCAACACCCCUCCUCUCUCUCUCUCUCUCUUAAUUUUAUGAUUUUCUCCCUUUAAAAUCUCAAGCUCUUUACGCUUCUUUAAGGGCUUCAAUCAUCAAUCUUUAAGAAGCCAAGAUCCUCAAUUGCAAAGCUUGUUAUUAUCAUGAACAAGGAUGGUACGCCACCAUUUGCAUCGCCUGCCCGAAAUUGAAGUUUUUGUUUAUAACCUGUAAAAACAUUUAUAUCUUUUGAGCUUUUUGUAAUUUGCUAUGUAGAUCUGACAUUAAAUAGACUUGGGUUUGUAAUAUAUUAAGAGUUAAGUAAUGUUUAUCAGCUUUUUGUAUGGAUUUAA
Molecule: long non-coding RNA, 485 nt
Organism: Chenopodium quinoa (quinoa)
Lineage: Eukaryota; Viridiplantae; Streptophyta; Magnoliopsida; Caryophyllales; Amaranthaceae
Exons: 2
Source: RefSeq, a predicted model, not a curated record